Long non-coding RNA from Myotis lucifugus (little brown bat), 266 nucleotides. RefSeq lists it as uncharacterized. NCBI's taxonomy places the organism in Eukaryota, Metazoa, Chordata, Mammalia, Chiroptera, Vespertilionidae. The transcript is spliced from 3 exons. The record is from RefSeq and is a predicted model, not a curated record.
UUGGCAGAGAGCCGAAAAGGGCGUAUUCUCAGUUCUGAGUUCUUUUCUGGCUUAUCCUGGGACACCUAUGAGUCCUGGGGCUUCACACGGCAUCUUUAAGUGAACAGUGCGCAUGCGCCGCCUUUCUCUUUUCCGGCUGGAACCAUGGAGGGUGCAGAAGAGAAGAAGAAGAAGAAGGUUCCUGCGGUGCCAGAAACCCUCAAGAAGAAGCGAAGGAACUUCGCGGAGCUGAAGAUCAAGCGCCUGAGGAAGAAGUUUGCCCAAAA